Long non-coding RNA from Ornithodoros turicata, 659 nucleotides. RefSeq lists it as uncharacterized. The transcript has 4 exons. The record is from RefSeq and is a predicted model, not a curated record. NCBI's taxonomy places the organism in Eukaryota, Metazoa, Arthropoda, Arachnida, Ixodida, Argasidae.
UGCUGAUAUGUGACACUACGGCAGCGGCCGCUAGAAGGGGCUUCGUCCCACGCAGUUGAUACCGGCACGGCACGCUGAGUAGGCGUGGGCUUUCGUGUGCGGACAUAACACAAAUGUCCUGAGCAGAAACAUGACAUGGCGGUUACCGUUGUAGUCUUUUCUUCGGCGUGAUGUGAAUAGAAUCAACAUCUGGACACGAUAUCAUUCGUGCAAAUGCUCCGAUUGUUGAGCGUUUGUUCCCUCAUCAAACGACAUCGUGGCAGUGACGUGACAAGAAGAUCACGCUGGUUGCGCUUCCUAUUGGAGGAUGGUACGCUCUGGAGCUGGCCUCAGUCGAAGAACGUAUUCCGUGUUAAAAAAUAACAGGCAGAAAUCGGUGGUAUCCAGUCGCCUUCGCCGAGCAGCUGCGUGUGUCUACCAAAUGAAUGGCCGUGCACAUCAUUUCGGCAUUGGAAGUUGCAAGAAUAUGGUCAGACGAUCAGACUUUUCUGCAAGAUUGCAGCUGUGCCUGGCAGUUUCAAUCCCAGGAAAAAAGGGACGAUGCAGCAGGUAAUCAAAGGUGUGGAGAAAAGGCUAUUUUGUCAGCUUUAUUGUGAUGUCGUCUUAGGCCUCAUAAUAUCCGUGUAGCGUCAGGAAAUAAAAGUGAAAAAGUCAGUAUU